AGUUUGAUCCUGGCUCAGGAUUAACGCUGGCGGUAUGCCUAACACAUGCAAGUCGAACGGAAUACUAAUUAAGAGAAUCUCACACUAGUGAGAGGUUCUCACGAGUAGUAUUUAGUGGCGGACGGGUGAGUAACACGUUGGAACCUGCCCCGAAGUGGGGAAUAACUGCUCGAAAGAGUAGCUAAUACCCCAUAGUAUCCGGUUUAUCCGGAUUAAAGAUUUAUCGCUUCGGGAGGGGCCCGCGUCUGAUUAGCUUGUUGGUGAGGUAAAAGCUCACCAAGGCGACGAUCAGUAGCUGGUUCGAGAGGAUGACCAGCCACACUGGGACUGAGAUACGGCCCAGACUCCUACGGGAGGCAGCAGUGAGGAAUCUUCCACAAUGGACGAAAGUCUGAUGGAGCAAUACCGCGUGCAGGAAGACGCUUUUCGGAGUGUAAACUGCUUUUGUCGUCGAAGAUUAUGACUGUAGACGAAGAAUGAGGACCGGCUAACUACGUG
RNAcentral lists this ribosomal RNA (498 nucleotides) under uncultured bacterium. Its description in RNAcentral is "bacterial SSU rRNA". It matches the Rfam family "Bacterial small subunit ribosomal RNA", at positions 10 to 507 of the family's 1533-position model. The record is from RNAcentral.